AGGCUUAACACAUGCAAGUCGAGGGGCAUCAGGAAGAAAGCUUGCUUUCUUUGCUGGCGACCGGCGCACGGGUGAGUAACACGUAUCCAACCUGCCCUUUACUCGGGGAUAGCCUUUCGAAAGAAAGAUUAAUACCCGAUAGCAUAAUGAUUCCGCAUGGUUUCAUUAUUAAAGGAUUCCGGUAAAGGAUGGGGAUGCGUUCCAUUAGGUUGUUGGUGAGGUAACGGCCCACCAAGCCUUCGAUGGAUAGGGGUUCUGAGAGGAAGGUCCCCCACAUUGGAACUGAGACACGGUCCAAACUCCUACGGGAGGCAGCAGUGAGGAAUAUUGGUCAAUGGGCGCUAGCCUGAACCAGCCAAGUAGCGUGAAGGAUGAAGGCUCUAUGGGUCGUAAACUUCUUUUAUAUAAGAAUAAAGUGCAGUAUGUAUACUGUUUUGUAUGUAUUAUAUGAAUAAGGAUCGGCUAACUCCGUGCCAGCAGCCGCGGUAAUACGGAGGAUCCGAGCGUUAUCCGGAUUUAUUGGGUUUAAAGGGAGCGUAGGUGGACUGGUAAGUCAGUUGUGAAAGUUUGCGGCUCAACCGUAAAAUUGCAGUUGAUACUGUCAGUCUUGAGUACAGUAGAGGUGGGCGGAAUUCGUGGUGUAGCGGUGAAAUGCUUAGAUAUCACGAAGAACUCCGAUUGCGAAGGCAGCUCACUGGACUGCAACUGACACUGAUGCUCGAAAGUGUGGGUAUCAAACAGGAUUAGAUACCCUGGUAGUCCACACAGUAAACGAUGAAUACUCGCUGUUUGCGAUAUACAGUAAGCGGCCAAGCGAAAGCAUUAAGUAUUCCACCUGGGGAGUACGCCGGCAACGGUGAAACUCAAAGGAAUUGACGGGGGCCCGCACAAGCGGAGGAACGUGUGGUUUAAUUCGAUGAUACGCGAGGAACCUUACCCGGGCUUAAAUUGCAGUGGAAUGAUGUGGAAACAUGUCAGUGAGCAAUCACCGCUGUGAAGGUGCUGCAUGGUUGUCGUCAGCUCGUGCCGUGAGGUGUCGGCUUAAGUGCCAUAACGAGCGCAACCCUUAUCUUUAGUUACUAACAGGUUAUGCUGAGGACUCUAGAGAGACUGCCGUCGUAAGAUGUGAGGAAGGUGGGGAUGACGUCAAAUCAGCACGGCCCUUACGUCCGGGGCUACACACGUGUUACAAUGGGGGGUACAGAAGGCAGCUAGCGGGUGACCGUAUGCUAAUCCCAAAAUCCUCUCUCAGUUCGGAUCGAAGUCUGCAACCCGACUUCGUGAAGCUGGAUUCGCUAGUAAUCGCGCAUCAGCCACGGCGCGGUGAAUACGUUCCCGGGCCUUGUACACACCGCCCGUCAAGCCAUGGGAGCCGGGGGUACCUGAAGUACGUAACCGCAAGGAUCGUCCUAGGGUAAAACUGGUGACUGGGGCU
This 1435-nucleotide ribosomal RNA is filed under the name uncultured organism. RNAcentral describes it as "SSU rRNA". It matches the Rfam family "Bacterial small subunit ribosomal RNA". The record is from RNAcentral.